This 253-nucleotide ribosomal RNA is filed under the name uncultured bacterium. RNAcentral describes it as "partial 16S ribosomal RNA". It matches the Rfam family "Bacterial small subunit ribosomal RNA", at positions 524 to 776 of the family's 1533-position model. The record is from RNAcentral.
UACGUAGGGGGCAAGCGUUGUCCGGAUUUACUGGGCGUAAAGAGCGUGUAGGCGGCCAAGCAGGUCCGUUGUGAAAACUGGAGGCUUAACCUCCAGCUGUCGAUGGAAACCAUCUGGCUAGAGUCCGGAAGAGGAGAGUGGAAUUCCUGGUGUAGCGGUGAAAUGCGCAGAUAUCAGGAAGAACACCCGUGGCGAAGGCGGCUCUCUGGGACGGUACUGACGCUGAGACGCGAAAGCGUGGGGAGCGAACAGG